CCUACGGGGGGCAGCAGUGAGGAAUAUUGGUCAAUGGGCGCAAGCCUGAACCAGCCAAGUCGCGUGAGGGAUGACGGUCCUAUGGAUUGUAAACCUCUUUUGUCGGGGAGCAAGGCCCGCCACGUGUGGCGGGAAGGAGAGUACCCGAAGAAAAAGCAUCGGCUAACUCCGUGCCAGCAGCCGCGGUAAUACGGAGGAUGCGAGCGUUAUCCGGAUUUAUUGGGUUUAAAGGGUGCGUAGGCGGAAGGUUAAGUCAGCGGUAAAAUGUUGGUGCUCAACACCGGCCUGCCGUUGAAACUGGUCUUCUUGAGUGAGCGAGAAGUAUGCGGAAUGCGUGGUGUAGCGGUGAAAUGCAUAGAUAUCACGCAGAACUCCGAUUGCGAAGGCAGCAUACCGGCGCUCAACUGACGCUGAGGCACGAAAGCGUGGGGAUCGAACAGGAUUAGAUACCCUGGUAGUC
This 460-nucleotide ribosomal RNA is filed under the name uncultured bacterium. Its description in RNAcentral is "partial 16S ribosomal RNA". It matches the Rfam family "Bacterial small subunit ribosomal RNA", at positions 338 to 795 of the family's 1533-position model. The record is from RNAcentral.